Molecule: small RNA, 171 nt
Filed under: Apteryx rowi (Okarito brown kiwi)
Lineage: Eukaryota; Metazoa; Chordata; Aves; Apterygiformes; Apterygidae
Description: TUC338 (ENSARWG00000014795.1)
Source: RNAcentral
CCAAUAUCUCUAGAGGCUAGAGUCUGUUGUUUACACACAGAAUAAAGACCUCGGAGAAAAAAACAGCACAAGCUUCCCAUGGCAACUUUCCUUGAAGCUGUCUCUGAAAGACCACCUCAAGGGGUGACAGAGCAUUUCAGUUUCUGUGGCUCAUUCAAUCUUGUGGCUUUC